CCGCAAGUGGAGAAUAUCAGCUCAGUCUAAGAAGCUGAAGCAUAUGAGCAGUUCCUUAGGAGCAAUAUGGAACAGAUUCAACAAUCAAAAGCAAAACUCUUAGGUGUCCAAGGAUUUGUCCA
Molecule: non-coding RNA, 122 nt
Organism: Solanum lycopersicum (tomato)
Lineage: Eukaryota; Viridiplantae; Streptophyta; Magnoliopsida; Solanales; Solanaceae
Source: RefSeq, a predicted model, not a curated record